RNAcentral lists this ribosomal RNA (421 nucleotides) under uncultured bacterium. RNAcentral describes it as "bacterial SSU rRNA". It matches the Rfam family "Bacterial small subunit ribosomal RNA", at positions 361 to 774 of the family's 1533-position model. The record is from RNAcentral.
AUUUUGGACAAUGGGCGAAAGCCUGAUCCAGCAAUGCCGCGUGAGUGAAGAAGGCCUCCGGGUUGAAAAGCUCUUUUGUCAGGGAAGAAACGGUGAGGGCUAAUAUCCGUUGUUAAUGACGGUAACUGAAGAAUAAGCACCGGCGAACUACGUGCCAGCAGCCGCGGUAAUACGUAGGGUGCAAGCGUUAAUCGGAAUUACUGGGCGUAAAGCGUGCGCAGGCGGUUUUGUAAGUCUGAUGUGAAAUCCCCGGGCUCAACCUGGGAAAUGCAUUGGAGACUGCAAGGCUAGAAUCUGGCAGAGGGGGGUAGAAUUCCACGUGUAGCAGUGAAAUGCGUAGAUAUGUGGAGGAACACCGAUGGCGAAGGCAGCCCCCUGGGUCAAGAUUGACGCUCAUGCACGAAAGCGUGGGGAGCAAACA